CAGGACCCUGGGAUCAUGAUCUGAGCCAAAGGCAGAUGCUUAACCAACUGAACUACUCAGGAGAUGCUUCGGAUGCCCAGUCACCAUAACGUGAGCCUGGUUGGCAACAGCCGCCAUCUUGGAGCUUACCGUAGGUUUUUUCUGUGCGCGAUCGUGCUGGAGAAAGGAACUCUUGAAUCCUUAUGGGGCCCUACUCAUGAAGACAUUGAGAGGCUGACUAAUAGAACAAUGAAUGUUUCACAAAGAAAAAGAUUUGCUUCAUUAGAGGCACAAGCACAUGAAUAUAUUUGGUUUUCCUCAAAAUAAGAAAGGAAUCUUAGGAAAUUCAAUCACAUCUUAUUAAGGCAAGUAAUGUAAAUGAUUAGCUUUAGAAAUAAAACUGCCAACAGAAGAGUUUAUAGGAUUUUUUUUUUUUUGCUGAAGAUAUUGACAGUGGUAGGAUUAUUUUAUUAUUAAAAUGUGAUACACAUCCAAAUGUUUGCAUAUAAGGAA
Molecule: long non-coding RNA, 492 nt
Organism: Ailuropoda melanoleuca (giant panda)
Lineage: Eukaryota; Metazoa; Chordata; Mammalia; Carnivora; Ursidae
Exons: 3
Source: RefSeq, a predicted model, not a curated record